This 429-nucleotide ribosomal RNA is filed under the name uncultured bacterium. Its description in RNAcentral is "bacterial SSU rRNA". It matches the Rfam family "Bacterial small subunit ribosomal RNA", at positions 29 to 506 of the family's 1533-position model. The record is from RNAcentral.
ACGAACGCUGGCGGCAUGCCUAACACAUGCAAGUCGUACGAAGGCUUCGGCCUUAGUGGCGCACGGGUGAGUAACACGUGGGAACCUGCCUUUCGGUUCGGGAUAACGUCUGGAAACGGACGCUAACACCGGAUACGCCCUUAGGGGGAAAGUUUACGCCGAGAGAGGGGCCCGCGUCCGAUUAGGUAGUUGGUGGGGUAACGGCCUACCAAGCCGACGAUCGGUAGCUGGUCUGAGAGGAUGAUCAGCCACACUGGGACUGAGACACGGCCCAGACUCCUACGGGAGGCAGCAGUGGGGAAUAUUGGACAAUGGGCGAAAGCCUGAUCCAGCAAUGCCGCGUGAGUGAUGAAGGCCUUAGGGUUGUAAAGCUCUUUUACCCGGGAAGAUAAUGACUGUACCGGGAGAAUAAGCCCCGGCUAACUCCGU